AGAGUUUGAUCCUGGCUCAGGAUGAACGCUGGCGGUAUGCCUAACACAUGCAAGUCGUACGAGAGUUUUUAACUCUAGUGGCGGACGGGUGAGUAACACGUAAGAAUUUACCUUCAGGAGGGGGGAUAACAAUUGGAAACAAAUGCUAAUACCCCAUAUGCUUUCGAGUGAAAUGGAUUUAUAUUUAUCCGCCUAAAGAGAAGCUUNNGUCUGAUUANCUNNUUGGUAAGGUAAAAGCUUACCAAGGCGACGAUCAGGUAUCUGGUUNGAGAGGACGAUCAGACACACNGGAACUCACNCNCGCCUCCAGACUCCUACGGGGAGG
Molecule: ribosomal RNA, 325 nt
Filed under: uncultured bacterium
Lineage: Bacteria
Description: partial 16S ribosomal RNA
Rfam family: Bacterial small subunit ribosomal RNA
Source: RNAcentral